Molecule: ribosomal RNA, 227 nt
Filed under: Staphylococcus pseudintermedius
Lineage: Bacteria; Bacillati; Bacillota; Bacilli; Caryophanales; Staphylococcaceae
Description: partial 16S ribosomal RNA
Rfam family: Bacterial small subunit ribosomal RNA
Source: RNAcentral
UUUAUGGAGAGUUUGAUCCUGGCUCAGGAUGAACGCUGGCGGCGUGCCUAAUACAUGCAAGUCGAGCGAACAGAUAAGGAGCUUGCUCCUUUGACGUUAGCGGCGGACGGGUGAGUAACACGUGGGUAACCUACCUAUAAGACUGGAAUAACUCCGGGAAACCGGGGCUAAUGCCGGAUAACAUGUUGAACCGCAUGGUUCUACAGUGAAAGACGGUCUUGCUGUCA